AGAGUCACAUGACAUUGCGACCAUAGUAAUGUUUUCUAAAAUGCAAAACAUAUGGAUUUUUUUGGCCUGAUCAUAACCGCCAUGCUACAACCAUCACUGAUACUACUUAAAAGGCAGCCCGAAUCUAUGCAGAGAAGGGAUGAGAUCAUGUUUAAAGCAAGAAAACACUCCGUGCAGGUCAUCUUUUGUGAAGGACGCUGCGUUACAGCUAAUCUCUUCUUCACUUUCUUGGAGUCAAUGAGCAGGAAGCGGUUAACACUGCAAGCAGAACUUCCGAGGACAAACCAAAUCAACCUGUUCCAAAUGGUCACACCUUCCAAACAACGUCGUGUUCCAAAUUAAUAGGCCCUCCAACAACUCUCUGAUCUGCAAUAGCACACAAUCAGCUGAACUAAAGGUUCGUUGGGUGGAAAACAACAGUAAAAAACAAUAGGUGACAGGAGAGUACAAAAAGCUCCCAACAAGGCUUUGAGAAGAGGGAUAAUUCCCAGCGGCUCCAUGAUGGUGCUUGGCUCUCAAACCAAAUAAUAAAUCGAGACUCAUCAGACCAGGCAACAUUUUUCCAGUCUUCACCUGUCCAAUUUUGGUGAGCUCUUGCAAAUUGUAUCCUCUUUUUCCUAUUUGUAGUGGAGUUUAGUAGUACCCGGUGGGGUCUUCUGCUGUUGUAGUCCAUCCGCCUCAAGGUUGUGCGUGUUGAGGCUUCACAAAUGCUUUGCUGCAUACCUCGGUUGUAACGAGUGGUUAUUUCAGUCAAAGUUGCUCUUCUAUCAGCUUGAAUCAGUCGGCCCAUUCUCCUCUGACCUCUUGCAUCAACAAAGCAUUUUCACCCACAGGACUGCCGCAUACUGGAUGUUUUUCCCUUUUCACACCAUUCUUUGUAAACCCUAGAAAUGGUUGUGCGUGAAAAUCCCAGUAACUACCUACCUACCUGGAACAUUUUCCACCAGCCGCCAUUGUAAUCGUUUCUACACAACAUAUAUGCUGAAUACAUUACUCAGGGUCGGACUACUAGAUUAAUAGCAAAUCUCGGAACCGGUCAAAUCCCUUAUUAGACCGGGACAAGAGACAAUACCUCCGGGGUAUAGUGUAGCCAGCAGACAUCGGGUUCUGGACCGGUGUGCUAUUUGUCGUUCACAGUCUGAUUAUCAACUUGAGAUACAAGAUUGGAGUUGGUAUUGAUAGAUGACUUGUCCAACCGGGUUGUUUCACAAGUUUAAACACUCAUUUGAAAGCCACAAUGAAGUUAAAUCUUUGUUAGGCACCCAAUGGGUUCCGAGUUUGGAUUUGGGCCAAUGUAUCCACGUCUAUUGCUCUUCACUGUUUAACUGCAUUCAACCAAAGCUUGUUCAAACAAGUGUAGGCAAUACUACUUGGACUAUGACCUGAUUCCGUCCCUGCAGUUUCUGCAUAUGAAUGCAGACAGCCAAAUGGACUAUUCAGCCAUUCAUUGGCAGUACGAAGGUUGUGUUGAAACAUGCAGAUCAACGGAAACUUUUUCCGCGCACGCUGCCUUGACUUUUAGCUGCCAAAUCCCUGCUGACCAUAUCUGCUGCCGAAGGAAUGAUUUUUUACAACCAGAGAGAGUUUGAUUCUCAAGAGAAUUUGUGUGUAGAGAAUUUCAAGUCAAAAUCAUAUGGUCCUUAGUGUGCCCAGGAAAAUCAAUAAAAAAUCUGUACACCUAUUUACACCUACUUAUCUUAUUGCAUCGUUAUCACAAGUAUAAUCCUGCGCAGAUUGUCAAAAUUACGUUUUUUCUGACUUCUCAAGGCAGCCUCGUUACGUGUGACAGAUUUAGUCAGAUAUUGCCUGCAGUCCAGCAUGUGACUCCUACAAAAUUAGUAUCAGCAGGCCAGCCUGGCUAAAAAGGUUGAAUUUCGAGCUACAGGUGUGACCUGCUUAGGCCAUGAUUCAAUUAUCCAAAUGGACAAAGCUGUAGCUUGUACGGUUUGAUAUAUUGUCCGUGCAAACAUUUCAGUGAGCUGCUCCAUUGUUGAUAUACAGAAGAGGGAGCAGAACGGUUAUCUGUUGACUGGCAACAGUGUGGGCUGUAACAUUGGGAUAGCCCAGAAGCAGAUAGUAAAGAACCAGAGAUUGGUUUCAAGGCUUUUGGGUUGCCCUGCUGAUUCUCAGCUGAAUCAAAUUUUGAAAGGUUCACAUAAACUACAAACACAUAUUGUUUUACCUACUGUACCUAUGAAGGAAAUAUGCUCUGAUGCUGUCGUGGUUCUGUUUCUGCUCUUUAUCUCCUCUCUCCACCGGCCUGAGCAACGUGGCCUGGAUCCUCCAGCAGCGUGGUGUCGCCGUAGGCCUCUAGCAGACCAGGGUGGCAAAUUCGGAGCUCCAACCACCAACCAGUCGAAAGCAGCCGCAUGGCCAGAUCUCGGUUUUCAAGGUCAGAGGAAUCACAGCUGUCUGACGUCAAGAGCCUCAAGGGCAGCCGUUCUGCAUGCAACCGUUUAUGUAUGAGCAUAGGUGAAUCAGCUUUAAAGGCAGGUACUGAUUUCAUAUGAAAUCUACAAACUUAUGUGAUUUAACACUCUUGUCUGUAAUACUAUAUGGUUUGUGCUUGUGCUGAAAACACACGUUUUCAAGAAAGGGUAAAAAAUACAUAUUUUGUUUUUGUUGGUGUGUUUUAACUCUUAUGAACAAGCAAAAUGUGUUAUUAACAAACUUCAUUGUUAUUUUACUAGUUUACUAAAUGUGUAACUACUCUUUAAAACCUACAACAUGCAACAGAUAACGUGUGCGCAAUAUGUUUUACAACCACACAGACACACACACAGCCUCUGCUCCUCCUGCCCUCUCUGCCAGCUGUUCAGCUGCAUACGUGCCGUCUCACACAUCCACCCACAGCCUUCUUCUCAAACUAGUUAUUAUCAAAGCAAAUGCCUAGAUAACAGACUCUGGUGUGUCUCUUCUUCACAUUCAAAAGUGUUUUAAGAUCAUUCAUUUAUUGCUAACGCACUUGAUCAAAACACAAAUUUAUCUUUUCUCACGUUUUCCUGUCUUUUAUUGUCAUUUUCUGUUUAGCUUCCACACCCUAUUUAGGGUGUAUUGGACAAAAGGUGAUAUUGUAGUGAAUGUGACUUCAGAAUUCACGCUUGUUCUUAGUGUGGUUCUACACACUGUUGUUUCAUGCAGUUAUUUUGUCUGCAUGGUUUGACCAUGUUAACGUGGAUCUGGUUGGCCCUCUGCCCUCCUCUUCUGGUUUCACCUACCUGUUGACCAUGGUUGACAGGACCACCCGUUGGCCUGAGGCUGUGCCACUGACAUCGUUGGCAGCUGUUGAUGACACGGGCAUUUAACGGCACCUGGGUUGCCCGUUUCGGCACCCCUUCGGACAUAUCCUCUGACCGGGGCGUGCAGUUCACGUCUGAGCUGUGGAACACGGUGGCCCAGAGCCUCGGAGCGAAACUCCACCGUACGACUGCAUACCACUGCACUACUGGACAAUGCGAGGCUUUUCGCACCUGUCCCUACUUCCCGUCACGGCCUCCCUCAGUUGCACAUCCCUGCUGGGCUUCAGACGGCUGAAUACGUCUUUAUUCGCCACGACGCUCACAGGGGACCGCUACGCCCGCCCUACGAGGGCCCAUUCCGUGUCUUGGAGACGGGAGACAAACAUUUUGUGAUGGAAAUGGGUGGUAAACCGGAGCGACUCUCCAUUGACCGCCUCAAACCAGCUCAUUUGGACGUUGCUAGGCCCAUUUGAUAAUUAUUUUUUUUAUAUGGUGAAUUCUGGGGGGACGUGUGUAGUGAAUGUGACUUCAUAAUUCACCCUUGUUCUUAGUGUGGUUCAACACACUGUUGUUUCAUGCAGUUAUUUAAGUAAUGUGUUAUACACGUAAGUACAACUGUUCUGGGAUCGCGCCCCCUUUAAAUAUUCUGUUGUUGAGGAAUGAGAGCCCCAUGUUUGUGAGAUUACAGGGCUGCGCCAUAUUUGUUUGUUUGUUCAUUCGUUUUGUCAUGUAAAAAUAAACGAGACACACACUUGUGUACU
Molecule: long non-coding RNA, 4000 nt
Organism: Gasterosteus aculeatus aculeatus (three-spined stickleback)
Lineage: Eukaryota; Metazoa; Chordata; Actinopteri; Perciformes; Gasterosteidae
Source: Ensembl